ACGAUAUCUUCCGCACGAGGGCAUGACUGCUGGUAGUAGCCAACCACGAGUCCUUUGGUGGGUGGGCUAGGGAUGGGCGGUGGAGGGCUAGGUGUGGUCGGGGUGUAUGGGGGCGGAGGACUUGGGGUAGCUGGUGUGGGCGGUGGAGGGCUAGGUGUGGUCGGGAUGUAUGGCGGCGGAGGACUUGGGGUAGCUGGGGUGGGCGGUGGAGGACUAGGUGUGGUCGGGGUGUAUGGUGGCGGAGGACUAGGUGUAGUCGGGGUGUACGGCGGCGGGGGACUAGUUAUGCUCGGUAUGGACGGAACAGGGGUGGG
Molecule: long non-coding RNA, 314 nt
Filed under: Triticum aestivum (bread wheat)
Lineage: Eukaryota; Viridiplantae; Streptophyta; Magnoliopsida; Poales; Poaceae
Description: long non-coding RNA (TAES_LNC012609)
Source: RNAcentral